AAAUUGCAUUAUAAAUAAACAUAGAAGGAAUUUCCUGCAUAUAGUUACGCAGUUGCCUGUAAGCUUCUGAAG
RNAcentral lists this small nucleolar RNA (72 nucleotides) under Lachnoanaerobaculum sp. ICM7. The record is from RNAcentral. Lineage: Bacteria; Bacillati; Bacillota; Clostridia; Lachnospirales; Lachnospiraceae.